UCCGUGGUACUUGGUGCAGCGGAGGAUAGAGGCAAUCUCCGGAGCGCUUUCGGCAGACUUGGCAGCCGUUUCACCAUAGGGAAGACAGGGUUACCAAAUUCAAGUUUUGCAUUUUUUUGACGGCUGUACUACUGACUGGGAUCUUGGAAUCUUGUCCUGCUACGAGGAAACCCGAUAGGCAGUGUUUGGGUUGCUCGACCCACGUGUGCCGCGGGUGUUCAGUACGUACCGCUCCGUAGCCAAGCCGGGAGGGUGUCUGUCACCCUGCAACGGGUUCCAGCUGGCUGAUAUCUUUCUUUUCCUCCGGCCAUUACAAGGCAUGAUCAGGUUAGUCCUUGCAGAGUUCCUGGAAGCUGUUUCAGCAGGGCUAUAAUUGGAUUGCAUGAGGCUUGGCCUUUCGCCUUCUCUUCCAGCUAUCUGAACCAAUGCAGGAGGAAAAGCAAUGCUGCUGGGGAGGGGACUGGCUGUGGGUGACCAGGGGUGAUUUCCGUGCCAUGGAAACUGUCAGUGCUCCCCCAGACUUGUUUUCCUUUAGAGUGGAAAUGAGAUGCUGGGAUGUUUCUGGGUGGUGGAAAAAACAUGGGACAGACACCCCCUGUAGCAGCGUGGAGCUGAGCCUCCCACAAGCUGUUUUUAAAUGUUUUGAAAUAAGAGGCUGAACUUUUGCCAGGCAGAAACAAACAUUUCAACACUUCUUAAGUGGUGGAAGAUCAGUACCAAAUUCACAGUGAAAUGGUUUGGUAUUUAUAAAUGAAAGAAAGAUUCCCAAACAGGUAAAUAACUUUGGUCCCUCAAAAAUGCAGCCUCUCCCAACCCAGCCCCUUGUCAGGGAGCAGUGGGAGCUUCACCUUGGCCACUUCACCCACCGAAACAUCGCUGCUUCCAGCACCCAGACAUUUACCUUGGGAAGAACCAAGCUAACAUGGGAGCCCCAGUUUGUUGUACAGCCUGUGGAGAGAAAUAGGCAACCAAAACAGUUAUUCUCAGGGCCUGUUAUUUCAUCUUCAUUCCCCUCCUAAGGUUUAUAAAAGACAUUUGUACUGUCUGAGGUCUUAAGGGACAUAAAUACUCUGUUCAGCCUGUAUUUGUAGUUCAUCAGAAAUAUAGGAUUAUCCCCAGAGGCUUAAACAGUCUGGAUACCACUCUAGCAAAGCGGGUUCUUAUUUUGCAUGUUGCUGUAUUGACUGCUGUAGUGAGAGCGACCUUGUCACAUGCUGUUCUGCCUUGUUUUAUUAUCCUGGCUGCACCAGAGAGAGAAGUUAAUUAAACAGAUUCCACUGGAGAACAUUCGCUUGGAGACCAAUUCCCCUUGCCUUGGUCCAAACAAAGAAGUGUAGUCAAAAACAUGUAGAUUAAUCCCUACAUUAAUGCAUUAAUGCUCCUUUAAAAUGAUUUUCCUAGGUUCUAAAGUUUAUGCACUUUAAGAGCCUUAGUGCCAUGCAAGAUUUUUUUAUUUUUUUAUUUUUUUUUACUGGCCUGGUCAUAUUAUUUAAUAAAAGAAGAGCCACUAGGAGCUGAAAAUAGAAAGAAGUAAUAUAAGAGCUUUGUUGAUCAAAAUCAAAAUCAAAAGGGAAAGAAAUGAACCAGAGAAGAUCAGGAUUGUCUGCCAGUACACUGCUGCAGAGAAUGGGGUAUCAGUGGGAAGAGUCUGUGAAGUAACAACAAAAAACGCCUUGAAGAUUUUCCCAAAAGUUUACCAAUGUUCAAAGGAAUGAGUCUUUGUCAAAAAUCAGAGUGUUCAUCAAGGACAACCCUUCUGCAUUUCAUGAAUUCUAUUAUUUUUUAUGUGGACGCGUACAGGUUUUUUUGUUUGUUUCUCUGUGUAUAAAGGAUUCAGAUGGAGGUUACACUUUUUGUAACAUAUGAAGAUGCUAUUAAUCUCAGGGAAUAAAAUUCCAAUAAAUUUUACCUAC
This is a long non-coding RNA of Oxyura jamaicensis (ruddy duck), 1913 nucleotides long. RefSeq lists it as uncharacterized. Lineage: Eukaryota; Metazoa; Chordata; Aves; Anseriformes; Anatidae. The record is from RefSeq and is a predicted model, not a curated record. The transcript is spliced from 2 exons.